RNAcentral lists this ribosomal RNA (315 nucleotides) under Zangia erythrocephala. RNAcentral describes it as "LSU rRNA". It matches the Rfam family "Bacterial large subunit ribosomal RNA", at positions 1793 to 2112 of the family's 2925-position model. The record is from RNAcentral. Lineage: Eukaryota; Fungi; Basidiomycota; Agaricomycetes; Boletales; Boletaceae.
GCCCCGACUGUUUACUAAAAACACAACUAUCUGCAAUUAUGAAAAUAAUAGUAUAGGUAGUGAGAUUUGCCCAAUGCCAAAUUAAUAAGUAAUAAUAAUAGGUAACUGUUUCUUUACAAAAAAUUGGUUAAUAGCGGUCUUAACUAUGAGGAUCCUAAGGUAGCAAAAUAAAUUGGCCAUUAAAUGUGGUCCAGUAUCAAUAAUUUAACGAUGGCUUCACUGUCUCUACAACUUGCUCAGUGAAAUUGAAUUACCCGUGCAGAUGCGGGUUACCUCAAAGAGGACGGGAAGACCCUAUGCAGCUUCUACUAACCG